UCUACGGGUGGCAGCAGUGAGGAAUAUUGGUCAAUGGGCUUACGCCUGAACCAGCCAAGUCGCGUGAGGGAAGACUGCCCUAUGGGUGGUAACCAUCUGUUGUCAGGGAGCAAUUGACGCUACGGGUAGCGUUAUCGAGAGUACCUGAAGAAAAAGCAUCCGCUAAAUCCGUGCCAGCAGCCGCGGUAAUACGUAGGAUGCGAGAGUUAUCCGUAUUGAUUGGGGUUAAAGGGUGCGUAGGCUGAAGGCCAAGUCAGAGGUAAAAUAGCGGGGCUCAAACUCGCUCCGCCGUUGAAACUGGCGUUCUUGAGUGGGCGAGAAGUAUGCGGAAUUCGUGGUGUAGCGGUGAAAUGCAUAGAUAUCACGCAGAACUCCGAUUGCGAAGGCAGCAUACCGGCGCCCAACUGACGCUGAAGCACGAAAGCGUGGGUAUCGAACAGGAUUAGAUACCCCAGUAGUC
Molecule: ribosomal RNA, 460 nt
Filed under: uncultured bacterium
Lineage: Bacteria
Description: partial 16S ribosomal RNA
Rfam family: Bacterial small subunit ribosomal RNA
Source: RNAcentral